Molecule: ribosomal RNA, 423 nt
Filed under: uncultured bacterium
Lineage: Bacteria
Description: partial 16S ribosomal RNA
Rfam family: Bacterial small subunit ribosomal RNA
Source: RNAcentral
GAAUAUUGGACAAUGGGCGAAAGCCUGAUCCAGCCAUGCCGCGUGUGUGAAGAAGGUCUUCGGAUUGUAAAGCACUUUAAGUUGGGAGGAGGGGCAGUAAGCGAAUACCUUGCUGGUUUGACGUUACCGACAGACUAAGCACCGGAUAACUCUGUUGCAGCAGCCGCGGGAAUACAGAGGGGUCAAGCGUGAGGCGGAAUUACUGGGCGUAAAGCGCGCGUAGGGGGUUCGUUAAGUGGGAUGUGAAAUCCCCGGGCUCAACCUGGGAACUGCAUCCAAAACUGGCGAGCUAGAGUAGGGCAGAGGGUGGUGGAAUUUCCUGUGUAGCGGUGAAAUGCGUAGAUAUAGGAAGGAACACCAGUGGCGAAGGCGACCACCUGGGCUCAUACUGACACUGAGGUGCGAAAGCGUGGGGAGCAAACA